AAAAAAAUGACACGGUAGUAAAGGCACUUUGGUGUGUUUUGCAGUACGAUGAAGAGGGGGAGGAGGCUGACGACGAGGAAGGCGAGGAGGAAGCCGACGAGGAGAAUGACCCCGACUACGAUCCCAAGGUGAGGUCCCCCCGCACGGUAGCUCUCAAUGUCUCGCUCGUGACAUCUCUGCACCCUUACAACCCGGGGGUCAUUAGUUUCAUGUCCCUCCAUGUCACAAGUGCCAUCGAAGCCCACUGGGAGACCCGAGAACUGCUCGUGUCUAUUCAAAAUACAGAAUCCAUCCUGCCGAAUGCAUCUCAUGGCUUCAGCUUGGGUUGCUUGUCGCCUUAAUUUGGCUCCUCGGCUAAAGUGACCCUCAUUCAGACUCUUCACCGCCAUCCCUUGAACGACUUCAUAUUUUUCGUUGUGUUCAAAAUCGUAGCAGGCGGCAGUCUGUUUUAGGGGGCGGGGUCUGUCAUGUCAAUGCAGAUGACAGCUUUCAUGGCCACAGAGAAGCGGCAUGAAACAGGAAGAGCUCCUCAGUUUGCCAAGUCUUGUACUCGUUUUCCCAA
Hippocampus comes (tiger tail seahorse) is the source of this 562-nucleotide long non-coding RNA. RefSeq lists it as uncharacterized. Lineage: Eukaryota; Metazoa; Chordata; Actinopteri; Syngnathiformes; Syngnathidae. The transcript has 2 exons. The record is from RefSeq and is a predicted model, not a curated record.